GGAAAGGCGCGCGAUACAGGGUGACAGCCCCGUACACAAAAAUGCACAUGCUGUGAGCUCGAUGAGUAGGGCGGGACACGUGGUAUCCUGUCUGAAUAUGGGGGGACCAUCCUCCAAGGCUAAAUACUCCUGACUGACCGAUAGUGAACCAGUACCGUGAGGGAAAGGCGAAAAGAACCCCGGCGAGGGGAGUGAAAAAGAACCUGAAACCGUGUACGUACAAGCAGUGGGAGCACGCUUAGGCGUGUGACUGCGUACCUUUUGUAUAAUGGGUCAGCGACUUAUAUUCUGUAGCAAGGUUAACCGAAUAGGGGAGCCGAAGGGAAACCGAGUCUUAACUGGGCGUUAAGUUGCAGGGUAUAGACCCGAAACCCGGUGAUCUAGCCAUGGGCAGGUUGAAGGUUGGGUAACACUAACUGGAGGACCGAACCGACUAAUGUUGAAAAAUUAGCGGAUGACUUGUGGCUGGGGGUGAAAGGCCAAUCAAACCGGGAGAUAGCUGGUUCUCCCCGAAAGCUAUUUAGGUAGCGCCUCGUGAAUUCAUCUCCGGGGGUAGAGCACUGUUUCGGCAAGGGGGUCAUCCCGACUUACCAACCCGAUGCAAACUGCGAAUACCGGAGAAUGUUAUCACGGGAGACACACGGCGGGUGCUAACGUCCGUCGUGAAGAGGGAAACAACCCAGACCGCCAGCUAAGGUCCCAAAGUCAUGGUUAAGUGGGAAACGAUGUGGGAAGGCCCAGACAGCCAGGAUGUUGGCUUAGAAGCAGCCAUCAUUUAAAGAAAGCGUAAUAGCUCACUGGUCGAGUCGGCCUGCGCGGAAGAUGUAACGGGGCUAAACCAUGCACCGAAGCUGCGGCAGCGACGCUGAUGCGUUGUUGGGUAGGGGAGCGUUCUGUAAGCCUGC
RNAcentral lists this ribosomal RNA (905 nucleotides) under Escherichia coli. RNAcentral describes it as "partial 23S ribosomal RNA". It matches the Rfam family "Bacterial large subunit ribosomal RNA", at positions 344 to 1252 of the family's 2925-position model. Lineage: Bacteria; Pseudomonadati; Pseudomonadota; Gammaproteobacteria; Enterobacterales; Enterobacteriaceae. The record is from RNAcentral.